This 253-nucleotide ribosomal RNA is filed under the name uncultured bacterium. RNAcentral describes it as "partial 16S ribosomal RNA". It matches the Rfam family "Bacterial small subunit ribosomal RNA", at positions 524 to 776 of the family's 1533-position model. The record is from RNAcentral.
UACGUAGGCAGCGAGCGUUGUUCGGAGUUACUGGGCGUAAAGAGUGCGUAGGCGGUUUUCUAAGUUUAGUGUGAAAUCUCCCGGCUUAACUGGGAGGGUGCGCCGAAGACUGGAAGGCUUGAGUAUGGGAGAGGUAAGCGGAAUUCCUGGUGUAGCGGUGAAAUGCGUAGAUAUCAGGAGGAACACCUGCGGUGUAGACGGCUUACUGGACCAUCACUGACGCUGAGGCACGAAAGCGUGGGUAGCAAACAGG